This is a microRNA precursor of Chlorocebus sabaeus (green monkey), 63 nucleotides long. Lineage: Eukaryota; Metazoa; Chordata; Mammalia; Primates; Cercopithecidae. The record is from Ensembl.
UGGGGGGCUGGCGGCUCAUCAGUCCAGGCCAUCUGGCCACUGGGUCAGCACCAGCGCCCAGUC